UACGUAGGGUGCAAGCGUUAAUCGGAAUUACUGGGCGUAAAGCGUGCGCAGGCGGUUGUGCAAGACCGAUGUGAAAUCCCCGGGCUCAACCUGGGAACUGCAUUUGUGACUGCAUAGCUAGAGUACGGUAGAGGGGGGAUGGAAUUCCGCGUGUAGCAGUGAAAUGCGUAGAUAUGCGGAGGAACACCGAUGGCGAAGGCAAUCCCCUGGACCUGUACUGACGCUCAUGCACGAAAGCGUGGGGGAGCAAACAGG
This 255-nucleotide ribosomal RNA is filed under the name uncultured bacterium. RNAcentral's name for it is "partial 16S ribosomal RNA". It matches the Rfam family "Bacterial small subunit ribosomal RNA", at positions 524 to 776 of the family's 1533-position model. The record is from RNAcentral.